This 78-nucleotide transfer RNA is filed under the name Echinostoma caproni. It matches the Rfam family "tRNA". From Rfam's summary of the family: Transfer RNA (tRNA) molecules are approximately 80 nucleotides in length. Their secondary structure includes four short double-helical elements and three loops (D, anti-codon, and T loops). The record is from Rfam by way of RNAcentral. Lineage: Eukaryota; Metazoa; Platyhelminthes; Trematoda; Plagiorchiida; Echinostomatidae.
GGCCACGUAGCUCAGCUGGUAGAGCGUGUGCAAAGCGUAGGCGGUGUCCAUGCGUGGGUUCGAAUCCCACCGAGGCUA